Molecule: ribosomal RNA, 392 nt
Filed under: uncultured bacterium
Lineage: Bacteria
Description: bacterial SSU rRNA
Rfam family: Bacterial small subunit ribosomal RNA
Source: RNAcentral
GACGAACGCUGGCGGCGUGCUUAACACAUGCAAGUCGAGCGGUAAGGCCCUUUCGGGGGUACACGAGCGGCGAACGGGUGAGUAACACGUGGGUGACCUGCCCUCCAGCUCUGGGAUAAGCCUGGGAAACUGGGUCUAAUACCGGAUAUGACUCCAUGACGCAUGUUGUGGGGUGGAAAGCCUUGUGCGGCUGAGGAUGGGCCCGCGGCCUAUCAGCUUGUUGGUGGGGGGAUGGCCUACCAAGGCGACGACGGGUAGCCGGCCUGAGAGGGCGACCGGCCACACUGGGACUGAGACACGGCCCAGACUCCUACGGGAGGCAGCAGUGGGGAAUCUUGCGCAAUGGGCGAAAGCCUGACGCAGCGACGCCGCGUGAGGGAUGACGGCCUGGU